ACUCAUACCUUGUAGGGGAAAUAUCAUGUUGUAAAAAUGAUUUUCCCUGGGAGAGGCUCAUCCAUUGCACUUUGGGUGUGCUGUUGAUCCCUGGUGAUUUCCCCAAAUGUGGGGAACUCAACUACAUAAUUUGUGUUAAUGGGGGCAUUAUGUUUGUGAUUUCUCUG
RNAcentral lists this small nuclear RNA (167 nucleotides) under Pogona vitticeps (central bearded dragon). Its description in RNAcentral is "U1 spliceosomal RNA (ENSPVIG00000006782.1)". It matches the Rfam family "U1 spliceosomal RNA". Rfam says of the family: U1 is a small nuclear RNA (snRNA) component of the spliceosome (involved in pre-mRNA splicing). Its 5' end forms complementary base pairs with the 5' splice junction, thus defining the 5' donor site of an intron. There are significant differences in sequence and secondary structure between metazoan and yeast U1 snRNAs, the latter being much longer (568 nucleotides as compared to 164 nucleotides in human). The record is from RNAcentral. Lineage: Eukaryota; Metazoa; Chordata; Lepidosauria; Squamata; Agamidae.